GAGGGUAUAGCUCAGUAGUAGAGUACGCACUUAGCAUGUAGGAGGUCCUGGGUUCAAUCCCCACUACCUCCA
This 72-nucleotide transfer RNA is filed under the name Camelus bactrianus (Bactrian camel). It matches the Rfam family "tRNA". From Rfam's summary of the family: Transfer RNA (tRNA) molecules are approximately 80 nucleotides in length. Their secondary structure includes four short double-helical elements and three loops (D, anti-codon, and T loops). Further hydrogen bonds mediate the characteristic L-shaped molecular structure. tRNAs have two regions of fundamental functional importance: the anti-codon, which is responsible for specific mRNA codon recognition, and the 3' end, to which the tRNAs corresponding amino acid is attached (by aminoacyl-tRNA synthetases). tRNAs cope with the degeneracy of the genetic code in two manners: having more than one tRNA (with a specific anti-codon) for a particular amino acid; and 'wobble' base-pairing, i.e. permitting non-standard base-pairing at the 3rd anti-codon position. The record is from Rfam by way of RNAcentral. RNAcentral also lists the same sequence under 1 other name. Lineage: Eukaryota; Metazoa; Chordata; Mammalia; Artiodactyla; Camelidae.